UCAAUACACACACCAUCAACAUUACCUUUAUUCAACAUGCUGCCACUGCAGCAUUGGGGGUUUUCUCUGAUGUUUCUCUCCAUCCUCACAGGAGUCAACUGUGAAGAACUCACUCGAGUAGAGAAAGAAGAGAACAGUUUAGAAGACAGCUCUGUUACUCUGUCCUACAGAUACUCCAAGACUAUAAAUGCUAAUGAUGAUUUCUUCUGGUAUCGACAAUAUCCAGGAAAACCUCCAAAGUUCCUCCUGUACAUUUCAGGGCUUAGUGUUACAAAAAACGGAGAGUCUCUUCAAUCAGACACAAGGUUCUCUACUAAACUGUCUGAAGAAAAGCAUGGUGUGGACCUCCAGAUCUCCUCUGCUGCAGUGCCAGACUCUGCUGUGUACUACUGUGCUGUGAGGCCCACAGUGACAUCAAACCCACAGUCUCUGUACAAAAACACAAGCUGACACACUGACAAGCUGCUGGAAGCCUUUUUCUACCCUGUUGUAGUGAACCUUGUAGCUCCACUAGAGGGCGACAUUAUCAAGUAGGAGGUGCACUACUUGUGCACUGUGUUCAACCAUUCAGUCAAUAAUAAGUGGAGCUGUUAAGAG
This is a non-coding RNA of Etheostoma cragini (Arkansas darter), 597 nucleotides long. NCBI's taxonomy places the organism in Eukaryota, Metazoa, Chordata, Actinopteri, Perciformes, Percidae. The record is from the annotation of a RefSeq genome assembly.